CCCAUACUACGGGAUAACCCGUUGAAAGACGGCCUAAUACCGUAUGACAUCGUUUGCUGACAUCAAAAUAACGAUUAAAAGGUUUAGCGGUUAUGGAUGGGGAUGCGUCUGAUUAGCUUGUUGCGGGGUAACGGCCACCAAGGCUACGAUCAGUAGGGGUUCUGAGAGGAAGGUCCCCACAUUGGAACUGAGACACGGUCCAAACUCCUACGGGAGGCAGCAGUGAGGAAUAUUGGUCAAUGGGCGAGAGCCUGAACCAGCCAAGUAGCGUGCAGGAUGACGGCCCUAUGGGUUGCAAACUGCUUUUAUGUGGGAAUAAAGUGCGUGACGUGUCAUGCAUUGCAGGUACCACAUGAAUAAGGACCGGCUAAUUCCGUGCCAGCAGCCGCGGUAAAU
RNAcentral lists this ribosomal RNA (396 nucleotides) under uncultured Prevotella sp. Its description in RNAcentral is "bacterial SSU rRNA". It matches the Rfam family "Bacterial small subunit ribosomal RNA", at positions 129 to 525 of the family's 1533-position model. Lineage: Bacteria; Pseudomonadati; Bacteroidota; Bacteroidia; Bacteroidales; Prevotellaceae. The record is from RNAcentral.